This is a long non-coding RNA of Alligator mississippiensis (American alligator), 1406 nucleotides long. RefSeq lists it as uncharacterized. The transcript is spliced from 3 exons. The record is from RefSeq and is a predicted model, not a curated record. NCBI's taxonomy places the organism in Eukaryota, Metazoa, Chordata, Crocodylia, Alligatoridae.
GACAAACCCCGGCUGGGGCUGGGGCUGGGGCCGGGGAGAGGAGUUAAACUUCUCUUCCCCACAAAUACAGAGCUGCCCUGCCCUGCCCUGCCGAAAACAUACUUCUGGCUGUGACUGUGGACUACAAACCCCAGAGGCACCUGGAAGCAGGAAGAGGAAGUGAUGGGCAGAGGCCUGCUGCAGUGAUCCUAAACUGCAAAUCCCAGAGACCUUGGGAUCGUCACGAAGAGGAAGCUACCCAUGCUGGCUAUGUGCCAGAGAGCUGUGCUCUAGCGCCCUCAGCUUCUGGCCUAAAUCACUGCAGGAACACAAACUAUGAACAGAAUACAGUCACAGUCUGCCUAAAAAGUGUAACAGCUGUGGCAAACAUAUGGAGCUGCCAUGGAAGAAAAGCUGCUGGCUUUCUGGAGUGAGACCCUAAUCAAAGUGAUUGAUGCUGGAUGUGAUGCAGAAAUGUAGCAGAUAUCCCUUUUGAAGGAAGACACUCUGGAGAUAAAUACAAAAUGCUCAAAUAAGUGGGACAGGCUGCAACACCUGUAAUACCCCUAGGAAUACUGUAUCCUGAAGUUUGAAACGAAAAAAAAAAAAAUCAAUUACUUCAACUACCAUGAUUAGGAAUGGAUUUGUAGCAACAUUCUCUUUCAUGUGCUGAAUUUCUUUUCUUUCUCCUUUAAGCGCCUCACAAUGGAAUUUUCCUGAAUUGCCAAAACAGGAGCUUUUCUGUUUUAUAAACCUUUCUAAUUCUCCUCCAUACCAUUCUUGCUGGAGCCAACAAUAAAGUGCAUGUGUGAGUUAUGGUGCAAAGUGCAUAUGUGCAAGUUAUGGUGACAAGUCUACUCUGAUUGCCUAAAUCCUGUUGGAAAGCCAAAGGAAUUGUUUUAGCAGUAUUACUAUGAGCAGAUGAACAUGCCUCACUGUAAAGUACUGUGGUGAUUAACUUUGUAAUCUUUGUCUUUAUUUUCAAUCAUAUCUGCUGAAUUUGCUAUUUUGACAAAUGCUGAAUGAUCCUCACUCAUACUGAAAUGAAUGACACUUCAAUGUUCUCUGCCCCAUUAACACAUUCUAUUAAGGUUGGCAUCAUGGGCCAAUCACUAUAAUAUUUGAGUUUGCAAAAUGUUUAAACUACUAUUUAUGCCUUUUAGCAAAAAAGAAUACAUGGUACCUGUCUCAAAGAUUUAACUGGUCUAUCUAUUUGCAAUAGACGUUUAUUGUCAACAAAAUUAUUAAAUAAAGCUCACAUCCUACAAGUUUUUGGUCCAUUUGGCUCCUCUUCCAGUUAUGCAUUUGUUUCUUGGAUUAAAAGGUAAACUCCAGCUAUAGAAACUUGAUUGUUUUUCAAGUCCCCGGUGGCUUUUCCAUGAAGGUAGGUUGAAGCUUCUCUAGCCCCAACAUCUUUUUGCAUGCAU